RNAcentral lists this transfer RNA (58 nucleotides) under Lachnospiraceae bacterium. RNAcentral's name for it is "tRNA-Lys". It matches the Rfam family "tRNA", at positions 8 to 63 of the family's 71-position model. From Rfam's summary of the family: Transfer RNA (tRNA) molecules are approximately 80 nucleotides in length. Their secondary structure includes four short double-helical elements and three loops (D, anti-codon, and T loops). The record is from RNAcentral. Lineage: Bacteria; Bacillati; Bacillota; Clostridia; Lachnospirales; Lachnospiraceae.
UAGCUCAGUUGGUAGAGCAGCUGACUCUUAAUCAGCGGGCCCAGGGUUCGAGUCCCUG